RNAcentral lists this ribosomal RNA (779 nucleotides) under uncultured Neocallimastigales. RNAcentral's name for it is "partial large subunit ribosomal RNA". It matches the Rfam family "Eukaryotic large subunit ribosomal RNA", at positions 22 to 641 of the family's 3401-position model. The record is from RNAcentral. Lineage: Eukaryota; Fungi; Neocallimastigomycota; Neocallimastigomycetes; Neocallimastigales.
CAUAGCGACUAUCGUGGCAUAUCAAUAAGCGGAGGAAAAGAAACUAACUAGGAUUCCCUUAGUAACGGCGAGUGAAGCGGGAAGAGCUCAAAUUUGAAAUCUUCAAGGGUUUACCUUUACGAAUUGUAGUUUAUAAGAAGUGUUUUCUGUUAGUAGAGUUCGGCUAAAAGUUCUUUGGAAUAGGACAUCAUAGAGGGUGAGAAUCCCGUAUUUGACCGUUACUUUCCAGCUGUGUGAUACACUUUCAAAGAGUCGGAUUGUUUGGGAAUGCAGUCCAAGAUGGGUGGUAAAUUUCAUCUAAAGCUAAAUAUUGGCGAGAGACCGAUAGCGAACAAGUACCGUGAGGGAAAGAUGAAAAGAACUUUGAAAAGAGAGUUAAACAGUACGUGAAAUUGUCAAAAGGGAAGCGUUUGACACCAGUAUUGUUUAGUUGAAAAUCAAUUCAAUAAUUUUUGAUUCUAAGUAGUAUUGACUUCAUCAGCUUGCUGCUUUCUUCUCAGAAAUUAUUUAAUGCACUUUUCAGUUAACAAGUCAACAUCAAUUUCUUUUGUUGUAAAAGGGUAAGAGGAAGGUGGCUUGCGCUUCGGCUCAAGUGUUUAUAGCCUUUUAGCUCCUGCAAUCGGAGAGAUUGAGGUCUGCAGCGUAGAUCCUUCGGGGUUAGAUACAUUUGUGCUAAGCUAUAGCCUUGUAUAGACAACUUGUUGACUAUGUUAGUCAUUGUAGCUUACUCGCUUAUGUAUUUUACCUACGCUUAGGAUGUUGAUAGUCACAGCGUGUAC